AGAUUGAACGCUGGCGGCAGGCCUAACACAUGCAAGUCGAGCGGCAGCACGGGUACUUGUACCUGGUGGCGAGCGGCGGACGGGUGAGUAAUGCCUAGGAAUCUGCCUGGUAGGUGGGGGAUAACGCUCGGAAACGGACGCUAAUACCGCAUACGUCCUACGGGAGAAAGCAGGGGACCUUCGGGACCUUGGCGCUAUCAGAUGAGCCUAGGUCGGAUUAGCUAGUUGGUGGGGUAAUGGCGUCACCAAGGCGACGAUCCGUAACUGGUCUGAGAGGAUGAUCGAGUCACACUGGAACUGGAGACACGGUCCAGACCUCCGUACGGGAGCGAGCAGUGGGGAAUAGUUGGACAAGUGGGCGAAAGCCUAGACUCCGAG
This 378-nucleotide ribosomal RNA is filed under the name uncultured soil bacterium. RNAcentral describes it as "bacterial SSU rRNA". It matches the Rfam family "Bacterial small subunit ribosomal RNA", at positions 26 to 391 of the family's 1533-position model. The record is from RNAcentral.